AUGCCAUUGCAGCGUGAGAUCCAGCGCCUCUGGAGGCAGCAGGAGGAGGUGCAGAUAGGGAAGGAACUCGCAAAGGAAGUUGCAUCCCGGAAGUCGCCAAGAACAAACCCACGAGGUUUUCCAUGGGGGGAACAAUUUAUAAACCGAAUCUGGAAAAGAGGGUACAGAAUGAGCUGGAGCCACCUCCUAACUGAGGCCAUGGCAAUGACCAACUGUCCCCAGCCAGGAAGAACUGAAGCCUGCGCCGGGAGACAGAUUGCACCCUGCGCUGUGCAGCCCUGGUUCUUCCGUGAGUCACAGACAUUUGCAUCUCAUUAGAGGAUUCUGGAAGACCAGAGGAAUGUGUCUGUAUCCCCUGAAUUAGAUCAGAGCCAGAAGACUCUCAAGGCAAACGGUUUUCAGCCAGAAGCCUGCAGUGAGUCCAGUCCCAGAG
This 433-nucleotide long non-coding RNA is filed under the name Fukomys damarensis (Damara mole-rat). RNAcentral's name for it is "lncRNA (ENSFDAG00000032211.1)". Lineage: Eukaryota; Metazoa; Chordata; Mammalia; Rodentia; Bathyergidae. The record is from RNAcentral.